CCUACGGGAGGCAGCAGUGAGGAAUAUUGGUCAAUGGACGCAAGUCUGAACCAGCCAUGCCGCGUGCAGGAAGACGGCUCUAUGAGUUGUAAACUGCUUUUGUACGAGGGUAAACGCAGAUACGCGUAUCUGUCUGAAAGUAUCGUACGAAUAAGGAUCGGCUAACUCCGUGCCAGCAGCCGCGGUAAUACGGAGGAUUCAAGCGUUAUCCGGAUUUAUUGGGUUAAAGGGGUGCGUAGGCGGAUUUUUAAGUCAGCGGUAAAAUCCGAGGGCUAAACCCGGGACGGCCGUUGAAACUGGGUGGCUAGAGUGUAGGAGAGGUAGGCGGAAUGCGUGGUGUAGCGGUGAAAUGCAUAGAUAUCACGCAGAACUCCGAUUGCGAAGGCAGCUUACCGG
This 396-nucleotide ribosomal RNA is filed under the name uncultured bacterium. Its description in RNAcentral is "partial 16S ribosomal RNA". It matches the Rfam family "Bacterial small subunit ribosomal RNA", at positions 338 to 732 of the family's 1533-position model. The record is from RNAcentral.